Helianthus annuus (common sunflower) is the source of this 881-nucleotide long non-coding RNA. RefSeq lists it as uncharacterized. The record is from RefSeq and is a predicted model, not a curated record. Lineage: Eukaryota; Viridiplantae; Streptophyta; Magnoliopsida; Asterales; Asteraceae. The transcript is spliced from 2 exons.
CUCCUCACAAACAAGACCCAACCCAGCCACACCCCCCAUUCUCGCCUCUCUCGGCUCUGACGAAAAACAAGUGGCCACCACUCUCCGGUGGUGGCACACGGUGAAGAUGAGCCCUCCGGUGGCCGAUGAUGACAAUCCGGUAGCGCCGGUGGUUCUCUCCGACGAGCAAGACCCCCUUUUCUGCGAAGUUUGAUCGGUGGCCAGACCGACCGACCGGCGGUCAGUUCAUUUAACCGGCGGUCGGUUUAUAGACCCGGUGGUCUUUGUCUUUGACCGACGGUUUUAUGAAUGAUGGUGCGAUGACGAGAAUGGAGAGAGACGGAGAAGAGAGGAACUCGAAGAGAGAGAGAGAUCGGUAGACGGAAUGGCGUCGGAAAACGGCAGCGGCGCCGCCGCAGGCGGCGGCGGCAGCGGCGACCAGUUUUUCUUCUCCGGUGAGCGGCAGACUACGGUCAGAACGCGAUUUCGAUUGGGAUUCAGCUUCGGUACAAGUUCGGUGCGGCUCGGGUUCGGUGUUCGGGUUAAUGUUUGGCUCAAUUCGGUUUGACUCGGUCAAACCGAGUCAACUCAGUCGGUUCAAGUCAGCCGGUUCGGGUCAAACGGCUUGGUCAGAUGGUUCGGUUCGGUUGACUCGGUCGAACCGAGUCAACUCGGUCAAGCCUGGUCAACACAGCGAGUUGACUCGGUCAACUCAGCCAACUAUUUUUUCGGCGUUUCGACACGAAGAUUCGGUAAACGAUUUAGGAUGAACAUUAUUUACGUUAAUUAGUUUUUAUAUUAUUACCGUGAAAACGAGCUCGAACCGAAUAAACGACGAAUUAUUAGUUAGAAUUACGUAGAUUUACUAAUUAUUUUGUUUAUAUAAAUUGAUUAUACGCAAA